Molecule: ribosomal RNA, 310 nt
Filed under: uncultured bacterium
Lineage: Bacteria
Description: bacterial SSU rRNA
Rfam family: Bacterial small subunit ribosomal RNA
Source: RNAcentral
CUGGAAAGUUUUUCGGUUGAAGAUGACCUCGCGGCCUAUCAGCUUGUUGGUGAGGUAAUGGCUCACCAAGGCGACGACGGGUAGCCGGCCUGAGAGGGCGACCGGCCACACUGGGACUGAGACACGGCCCAGACUCCUACGGGAGGCAGCAGUGGGGAAUAUUGGGCAAUGGAGGAAACUCUGACCCAGCGACGCCGCGUGCGGGAUGAAGGCCUUCGGGUUGUAAACCGCUUUCAGCAGGGAAGAAGCGAAAGUGACGGUACCUGCAGAAGAAGCACCGGCUAACUAUGUGCCAGCAGCCGCGGUAAUC